GAUGAACGCUGGCGGCGUGCCUAAUACAUGCAAGUCGAGCGAACGGACGAGAAGCUUGCUUCUCUGAUGUUAGCGGCGGACAGGUGAGUAACACGUGGAUAACCUACCUAUAAGACUGGGAUAACUUCGGGAAACCGUAGCUAAUACCGGAUAAUAUUUUGAACCGCAUGGUUCAAAAGUGAAAGACGGUCUUGCUGUCACUGAUAGAUGGAUCGGCGCUGCAUUAGCUAGUUGGUAAGGUAACGGCUUACCAAGGCAACGAUGCAAAGCGGACCUGGGAGGGUGGUCGGCCACACUGGACGUGAGCCACGGUCCAGACUCGUACGCGAGGCAGCAGAAGGGAAUCGUCCGCAAUGGGAGAGAGCCUGACGGAGCAACGCCGCGUGAGGGAUAAAGGUCUUCGGAUCGUAAAACUAUGUUAUUAGGGAAGAACAUAUGUGUAAGUAACUGUGCACAUCUUGACGGUACCUAAUCAGAAAGCAACGGCUAACUACGUG
This 497-nucleotide ribosomal RNA is filed under the name uncultured bacterium. RNAcentral describes it as "partial 16S ribosomal RNA". It matches the Rfam family "Bacterial small subunit ribosomal RNA", at positions 28 to 507 of the family's 1533-position model. The record is from RNAcentral.